This 460-nucleotide ribosomal RNA is filed under the name uncultured bacterium. RNAcentral's name for it is "partial 16S ribosomal RNA". It matches the Rfam family "Bacterial small subunit ribosomal RNA", at positions 338 to 795 of the family's 1533-position model. The record is from RNAcentral.
CCUACGGGAGGCAGCAGUGAGGAAUAUUGGUCAAUGGGCUUACGCCUGAACCAGCCAAGUCGCGUGAGGGAAGACUGCUCUAUGGGUUGUAAACCUCUUUUGUCAGGGAGCAACGCCGGCUACGUGUAGCCGGACUGAGAGUACCUGAAGAAAAAGCAUAGGCUAACUCCGUGCCAGCAGCCGCGGUAAUACGGAGGAUGCGAGCGUUAUCCGGAUUUAUUGGGGGUAAAGGGUUCGUAGGCGGAAUGCCAAGUCAGCGGUAAAAUCGCGGGGCUCAAACUGGCUCCGCCUUUGAAACUGGCGUUCUUGAGUGGGCGAGAAGUAAUCGGAAUGCGUUGUGUAGCGGUGAAAUGCAUAGAUAUCACGCAGAACACCGAUGGCGAAGGCAGCAUACCGGCGCCCAACUGACGCUGAAGCACGAAAGCGUGGGUAUCGAACAGGAUUAGAGACCCCAGUAGUC